RNAcentral lists this ribosomal RNA (1006 nucleotides) under Bifidobacterium myosotis. RNAcentral describes it as "partial 23S ribosomal RNA". It matches the Rfam family "Bacterial large subunit ribosomal RNA", at positions 590 to 1605 of the family's 2925-position model. The record is from RNAcentral. Lineage: Bacteria; Bacillati; Actinomycetota; Actinomycetes; Bifidobacteriales; Bifidobacteriaceae.
GGGGUGACGGCGUGCCUAUCGAAAAAUGAGUCUGCGAGUCAGUGGUGCGUGGCGAGUAUAAGCCGUGUGGCGUAUGCGUAGCGAAGGCGAGUCUUAAAAGGCGUUUGAGCCGCGUGUCCUGGACCCGAAGCGGGAUGAUCUAGCCCUGAGCAGGUUGAAGCGCGGGUAAGACCGUGUGGAGGACCGGACCCACCUGGGUUGAAAACCGGGGGGAUGACUUGGGGCUGGGGGUGAAAGGCCAAUCAAAUUCCGUGAUAGCUGGUUCUCUCCGAAAUGCAUUUAGGUGCAGCGUCGGGUGAUUGCAUCCGGGGGGUAGAGCUACUGGAUGCUUGCGGGCCCUUGUGGGGUACCAACAGCAACCAAACUCCGAAUACCCGUGAUGUGUAUCCCGGCAGUGACCCGGCGGGGGAUAAGCUUCGUCGUGGAGAGGGAGACAGCCCAGACCGUCGUCUAAGGUCCCCAAGCGCGUGCUAAGUGGGAAAGGAUGUGGAGUCGCAUAGACAGCCAGGAGGUUGGCUCAGAAGCAGCCAUCCUUGAAAGAGUGCGUAACAGCUCACUGGUCUAGUGGUUCCGCGCCGACAAUGUAGCGGGGCUCAAGCACGCCACCGAAGACGCGGCAGUACUUUGGUGUUGGGUAGGAGAGCGUCCCACGGGGGGCGAAGCGGCGGCGCAAGCCGGCCGUGGAUUCCGUGGGAGUGAGAAUGCAGACAUGAGUAGCGAAAGCGGGGUGAGGAUCCCCGCCGCUGGAUGACCAAGGGUUCCAGGGCCACGUUCAUCGUCCCUGGGUGAGUCGGGUCCUAAGGCGAGGCCGACAGGCGUAGUCGAAUGGAUGAACGGGUCGAUAUUCCCGUACCGGCUGGCGACCGUCCAAACCGAGGCGGCGAGUACUAACCUUCGUCCUUCCGUGAGGCGUCCUUCGGGGCGCGGACCGGGUGGGUGUCGGGACCGUAGUCGUAGUAGGUCAGCGCAGGAGUGACACGGAAGGGUGGCCGGCUCCGGAGGUGGU